Molecule: RNase P RNA, 389 nt
Filed under: Tissierellia bacterium
Lineage: Bacteria; Bacillati; Bacillota; Tissierellia
Description: RNase P RNA component class A
Rfam family: Bacterial RNase P class A
About the family: Ribonuclease P (RNase P) is a ubiquitous endoribonuclease, found in archaea, bacteria and eukarya as well as chloroplasts and mitochondria.
Source: RNAcentral
UGAGUAAAUCAGACGAUCGCGUGCUUUUGCAUGAGGAAAGUCCGUGCUCCAUAGGGCAGGAUGCUGGAUAACGUCCAGUAGGGGCGACCCUAAGGAUAGUGCAACAGAAACAUACCGCCAGAGCCCUGAUUUAGUAUUUUCUAGAUUUGUGGCGAAAAUAGCUAAGGUGCUAUUCUGGUAAGGGUGGAAAGGUGAGGUAAGAGCUCACCAGCGACUUAGGUAACUAGUCGGCUCUGUAAACCCCAUCUGGAGCAAGACCAAGAAGGGAUACAAAAAGGUGGUAGCCCGCUACCUUCCCAAAUGGUAGGUCGCAGGAGUCCAUUGGUAACAGUGGACCAUAGAUAGAUGAUCGUCUAAUACAGAACACGGCUUAUAGAUUUACUCAAUAU